AAGACUAUACUUUCAGGGAUCACUUCUCUGGUUUGUUUGUGGAGAAUUUCUCUGAAUGUGUAGCAUGCCAGAAACCAUGAAAAUAAAGAGGCACAGAGUUCUCUCCUGAGUAUGAAGCUGAUGCUUGGUGUUGCUACUGCAACUGCCAUUUUCAUUGGUGAUUCAUCUUGUCUUGCUUUGGGAGAGCAAGAGAGAGAGGAUGCCAUCUGAGU
Molossus molossus (Pallas's mastiff bat) is the source of this 212-nucleotide small nucleolar RNA. RefSeq annotates it as small nucleolar RNA U3. The transcript has a single exon. NCBI's taxonomy places the organism in Eukaryota, Metazoa, Chordata, Mammalia, Chiroptera, Molossidae. The record is from RefSeq and is a predicted model, not a curated record.